Molecule: RNA transcript, 622 nt
Organism: Zea mays
Lineage: Eukaryota; Viridiplantae; Streptophyta; Magnoliopsida; Poales; Poaceae
Exons: 2
Source: RefSeq, a predicted model, not a curated record
CCAAGAUAAAGCCGGCGGUGAACUAGAUUGAGACGCACCCUUACUUCCAGCGCGACUCUCUUGUCAAGUUCUGCCAGAAGCACGGGAUCUGCGUGACCGCGCACACCCCGCUGGGUGGCUCCACCGCCAACGCCGAGUGGUUCGGGAGGGUGUCGUGCCUGGACGACCCUGUCAUCAAGAGCUUGGCUGAGAAGUACGGCAAGACGCUGGCGCAGCUCGUCCUCCGCUGGGGUCUGCAGCGGGACACAGUGGUGAUCCCCAAGACCUCUAAGGUGGAGAGGCUGCAGGAGAACUUUGACGUCUUCGGUUUCGACAUCUCCGGCGAGGACAUGGAGAGGAUGAAGGCCGUCGACCGGAAGUACUGGACUAACCAGCCUGCCAAGCUCUGGGCAUCGACCUGUAUGCUUAGCUUUUAGUUCGGUCGCGUCGCGUGCUACGUCUCUCGGCUCCCCCCAGACAAGACAGCAUCAAUAAUGAGGAUUCCCUCAUACGACAUCAGUCAAAGUCAUGAGGAUCUCAGACAGCAUCUUCCAUCACGUGUCCCUCUCUCUUUCAGCUCAGCUUCAUCACCAUGUAGACUACGCAGUGGUUGCACUCGAUUAUUUACUGUUUUUCUUCCUUA